This 169-nucleotide ribosomal RNA is filed under the name Oncorhynchus nerka (sockeye salmon). RNAcentral describes it as "partial 12S rRNA". The record is from RNAcentral. Lineage: Eukaryota; Metazoa; Chordata; Actinopteri; Salmoniformes; Salmonidae.
CACCGCGGUUAUACGAGAGGCCCUAGUUGAUAACUACCGGCGUAAAGAGUGGUUAUGGAAAAUAUUUAAUAAAGCCGAACACCCCCUCAGCCGUCAUACGCACCUGGGAGCACGAAGACCUACUGCGAAAGCAGCUUUAAUUAUGCCUGACCCCACGACAGCUAAGAAA